Molecule: long non-coding RNA, 1491 nt
Organism: Mauremys reevesii (Reeves's turtle)
Lineage: Eukaryota; Metazoa; Chordata; Testudines; Geoemydidae
Exons: 6
Source: RefSeq, a predicted model, not a curated record
CAGAAAUUCUGGUCAGGAGGCUGUAUAUGUCCUCCCCUUCCUCCUUAGACUGGCUUAACCUGUUCUUCCCCACUGGUCAAAGAAUACAGCUGAAUAGAUUUCAUUAGGAGCCUCUUUUGUUAUUUUAAUUGCUCAAUCAGAGCUGAAACCAAUUGUGACCUUCUACAUGAGAAACAUUUGUUUCUUCUCUUGGUUCACCACCAUCCCUUGUCCCAGGACAGCUCUGGAAAGUGUUUGAUGGCAGCAGAAAAGCGUCGUCAUUCUGCAAUUUGAGUAAUGCUGCAGCUCCAGUUUGGGAGGGAUUAAAGUACAGAGGGAAAUGCAACAGAAGAUCCAACAGCAGAGUUGAGCACACUGACACUCAACAAAAAAUACAAGACGUCAUCCAUGAUGAAGCACCCAAUAUAUCGUGCAUCACCAAGAAUGUAGCUGGAUGACACUGCGAGCCCUGUGCUCGCAUACCUUGUCUCCCCAGGACACUCGGUACAUUAUACAUCUAGUCAGGACAAGAUGUCAGGCAGCACUACACUCAUCCUUUCUGCAAACAUUAACUGCAAGAGGUGUCUUAGGACUUUCCCAGGUCAUCUCUGGUUCAGCCCACACAACUGGCUACACCCUGGACUUGAUCUUUGGCCUAGACGUCAAGAAUAUGUUGGCUCUACCAAUGGCCUGCUGGAUGACCUUGGGCAUAGAAGGCCCCAAAUACAGCAGAACUGCUGGAGUUCCAUUGCAAGCAUGGAGAGCAGCCCCAUGACUGAACCACCUCUGCUCUGCAUUGCAUCUCUUUACCCGUGGAGAGGUGUGAUGGGAGGGUAGGAGAAAGAAGUAACCAAUGGAUUCACAAUAAACAUGGAUCCAGAGACUUAAACUCACAGUUUUGAGAUGCCCUGCUGCUAUAGCCUAUGAAUUAUAUUGUUGGUAGAAAAGUGACUGCACAGCUUCUUUGUGUGAAGGCACCAGGUUGCAAGAGAGUAUUACUUUAUCCUCAAACCCUCUUAGGUUCCAUGUGCAUAGCUGGUUUACAUGGAGUUUGGAUGAGAGAGAGGAAUUGUCUCAUGAUUUGUUCAUAUUGCAAGACAAGAAAUGGCAAAGCCUAUUACAGGAAAGGACAGUUAUUUCAUCUGGGCUGUAUGUGCAACACACUUAAUUGGAUCUGUCAUACACAAUUCGUGACAAUUGAAAGGCAACCUUCAUGGGGCCAGUGUAUUAACUUUGCUGAAGUCAGAGGAAUUACACCAGCAGUGAUGAAUAAUGGACCAUUCUGUUUGUUGGGUUUAUUUUGUAAUUAGUAAUAUUAAAUUUAAUAUCCACGUUUGAUUGUGGCUGCUAUGUAUUUAUUGAAUUGUUAACAAAGUUGCUGAACUAGUCUGUUUGGCAUAUGAAAUAAACUCAAGGGAUUAUAAAGAAACUAGAUCUGAAAAGGUGCAAUGAGUUGAGAUAAUAAUGUUAGCUCUAAAGGAUAGUGGGAAGGCUGUAUUCUUUAUCCUGGAG